This 433-nucleotide ribosomal RNA is filed under the name uncultured bacterium. Its description in RNAcentral is "partial 16S ribosomal RNA". It matches the Rfam family "Bacterial small subunit ribosomal RNA", at positions 29 to 507 of the family's 1533-position model. The record is from RNAcentral.
AACGAACGCUGGCGGCAGGCCUAACACAUGCCAGUCGAGCGAUGACUUCGGUCCUAGCGGCGGACGGGUGAGUAACGCGUGGGAACGUGCCCUUUGCUUCGGAAUAGCCCUGGGAAACUGGGAGUAAUACCGGAUGAGCCCUUUGGGGGAAUGAUUUAUCGGCGAAGGAUCGGCCCGCGUUGGAUUAGGUAGUUGGUGUGGUAAUGGCCUACCAAGCCGACGAUCCAUAGCUGGUUUGAGAGGAUGAUCAGCCACACUGGGACUGAGACACGGCCCAGACUCCGACGGGAGGCAGCAGUGGGGAAUAUUAGAGAAGGGGGGAAAACGCGAUCAAGCCAUGCCGGGGGAGAGAGGAAGGCCUUAGGGUUGUAAAGCUAUUUCAGCUGGGAAGAUAAUGACGGUACCAGCAGAAGAAGCCCCGGCUAACUCCGUG